AUUAAUUUUUUUUUUUUUUUAACUGAGCUAUGCAUAUAAAAAUUUUAUGCAGUGGGAGUGCUGCUUACAUAUUGUGCACUAUUAUUUAUGUUCUGACGACCACAACAUAAUUUAUCCUAAUUUUCUAGGGUUAGGUACACUGUUGCUUCAUCAGUUCAGUUCAUUUUGUUUUCCAAAAUCAUCUGUGUCAUAUUUCUUUCUUUCUCUGGUUUUAUGGUUAUGGAUGAUAUUAGAUGGUUACGUAGUUCAUAUUUGUGUCCAGAAAGCACUUGUCA
Molecule: unclassified non-coding RNA, 275 nt
Filed under: Hevea brasiliensis (rubber tree)
Lineage: Eukaryota; Viridiplantae; Streptophyta; Magnoliopsida; Malpighiales; Euphorbiaceae
Source: RNAcentral